This 262-nucleotide ribosomal RNA is filed under the name uncultured bacterium. RNAcentral's name for it is "partial 16S ribosomal RNA". It matches the Rfam family "Bacterial small subunit ribosomal RNA", at positions 524 to 783 of the family's 1533-position model. The record is from RNAcentral.
UACGUAGGGUGCGAGCGUUAAUCGGAAUUACUGGGCGUAAAGCGUGCGCAGGCGGUUUUGUAAGCCAGGUGUGAAAUCCCCGGGCUCAACCUGGGAAUGGCAUUUGGGACUGCAAGGCUGGAGUGCGGCAGAGGAGACUGGAAUUCCUGGUGUAGCAGUGAAAUGCGUAGAUAUCAGGAGGAACACCGAUGGCGAAGGCAGGUCUCUGGGCUGACACUGACGCUCAUGCACGAAAGCGUGGGGAGCGAAACAACGGAUUGAU